UACAGAGGUCUCAAGCGUUGUUCGGAUUCAUUGGGCGUAAAGGGUGCGUAGGCGGCGCGGUAAGUCGGGUGUGAAAUCUUGGAGCUUAACUCCGAAACUGCAUUCGAUACUGCCGUGCUUGAGGACUGGAGAGGAGACUGGAAUUUACGGUGUAGCGGUGAAAUGCGUAGAUACCGUAAGGAAGACCAGUGGCGAAGGCGGGUCUCUGGACAGUUCCUGACGCUGAGGCGCGAAGGCCAGGGGAGCAAACGGG
RNAcentral lists this ribosomal RNA (253 nucleotides) under uncultured bacterium. RNAcentral describes it as "partial 16S ribosomal RNA". It matches the Rfam family "Bacterial small subunit ribosomal RNA", at positions 524 to 776 of the family's 1533-position model. The record is from RNAcentral.